This is a non-coding RNA of Trichonephila inaurata madagascariensis, 77 nucleotides long. The record is from the annotation of a GenBank genome assembly. Lineage: Eukaryota; Metazoa; Arthropoda; Arachnida; Araneae; Nephilidae.
GUCCCUGAAAUGCAAUGGAUAGCGAGCGCUUUGGACUUCUAAUACAAAUGUCGUGGAUUCGAAUCCCACCUGGGAUG